This 506-nucleotide ribosomal RNA is filed under the name uncultured bacterium. RNAcentral's name for it is "partial 16S ribosomal RNA". It matches the Rfam family "Bacterial small subunit ribosomal RNA", at positions 29 to 523 of the family's 1533-position model. The record is from RNAcentral.
AUUGAACGCUGGCGGCAGGCCUAACACAUGCAAGUCGGACGGUAGCACAGAGGAGCUUGCUCCUCGGGUGACGAGUGGCGGACGGGUGAGUAAUGUCUGGGGAUCUGCCCGAUAGAGGGGGAUAACCACUGGAAACGGUGGCUAAUACCGCAUAACGUCGCAAGACCAAAGAGGGGGACCUUCGGGCCUCUCACUAUCGGAUGAACCCAGAUGGGAUUAGCUAGUAGGCGGGGUAACGGCCCACCUAGGCGACGAUCCCUAGCUGGUCUGAGAGGAUGACCAGCCACACUGGAACUGAGACACGGUCCAGACUCCUACGGGAGGCAGCAGUGGGGAAUAUUGCACAAUGGGCGCAAGCCUGAUGCAGCCAUGCCGCGUGUAUGAAGAAGGCCCUCGGGUUGUAAAGUACUUUCAGCGGGGAGGAAGGUGAUGUGGUUAAUAACCGCGUCGAUUGACGUUACCCGCAGAAGAAGCACCGGCUAACUCCGUGCCAGCCGCCGCCGUAA